AAAAUAGUCGUACAAGGUUUCCGUAGGUGAACCUGCGGAAGGAUCAUUA
This 49-nucleotide ribosomal RNA is filed under the name Bilharziella polonica. RNAcentral describes it as "partial small subunit ribosomal RNA". It matches the Rfam family "Eukaryotic small subunit ribosomal RNA". Lineage: Eukaryota; Metazoa; Platyhelminthes; Trematoda; Strigeidida; Schistosomatidae. The record is from RNAcentral.